Pelobates cultripes (western spadefoot toad) is the source of this 302-nucleotide non-coding RNA. NCBI's taxonomy places the organism in Eukaryota, Metazoa, Chordata, Amphibia, Anura, Pelobatidae. The record is from the annotation of a GenBank genome assembly.
AAUAUUGGGACAUAUAAAAAAAGACAACUCUGUUCCGCAGAGUAGCUGUUGACAUUAUAGUUGCGCAGGAACUUUGUUGACUCUAGAGAACCUCGGGCAAAUCACGCAUCCCGUGGCGGCGACUUUGCAUGCAGAUGUCAUCCAUAUCAACUUUCGAUGCCAGUUUCUGCGCCUACCAUGAUGACCAUGGGUAAUGGGGAAUCAGGAUUCCAUUCCGUACAGGGACCCUGAGAAACGGCUACCACAUGCAAGGAAGGCAGCAGUCGCGCAAAUGACCCACUCCCGACGCGGGAAGGUAGUGA